Molecule: small nuclear RNA, 126 nt
Organism: Ictidomys tridecemlineatus (thirteen-lined ground squirrel)
Lineage: Eukaryota; Metazoa; Chordata; Mammalia; Rodentia; Sciuridae
Gene: U4
Rfam family: U4 spliceosomal RNA
About the family: U4 small nuclear RNA (U4 snRNA) is a component of the major U2-dependent spliceosome. The structure of U4 snRNA from yeast and human has been reported.
Source: Ensembl
AGCUUUGUGCAGUGGCAGUAUCGUAGCCAAUGAGGUUUAUCUCAGGCAUGACUAUUGCUAAUUGAAAACUUUUCCCAUUACAUUCUACUAUAAAAUCCACUAUUGGAAUGAAACUUAGCUUUCUAG